AGUGGGAUGGCUGAGUUAUUAGGCGGUAGGCUGUAAAUCUAUUUAGGGGCAUUAAUGUGUUCUUCCACUA
This 70-nucleotide transfer RNA is filed under the name Nitiditermes fulvus. Its description in RNAcentral is "Cubitermes fulvus tRNA-Tyr". It matches the Rfam family "tRNA". Rfam says of the family: Transfer RNA (tRNA) molecules are approximately 80 nucleotides in length. Their secondary structure includes four short double-helical elements and three loops (D, anti-codon, and T loops). RNAcentral also lists the same sequence under 1 other name. The record is from RNAcentral. Lineage: Eukaryota; Metazoa; Arthropoda; Insecta; Blattodea; Termitidae.